GCUGGUGGUUUUAGCGAAGUGGUAAUACCCAGCUCCAUUCCGAACCUGGAAGUCAAGCACUUCUGCGCUGAUAAUACUGCAGGGCCCCCCUGUGGAAACGUAGGUCGCUGCCAGCU
This 116-nucleotide ribosomal RNA is filed under the name Arcobacter sp. F155. Lineage: Bacteria; Pseudomonadati; Campylobacterota; Epsilonproteobacteria; Campylobacterales; Arcobacteraceae. The record is from RNAcentral.